GACGAACGCUGGCGGCGUGCCUAAUACAUGCAAGUCGAACGACCCGCGACUAAGUGCUUGCACUUAGUCAAGGUGAGUGGCGAACGGGUGAGUAACACGUGGGUAUCCUACCCCAUAGUGGGGGAUACCAGUCGGAAACUACUGCUAAUCCCGCAUCGGACAUCGGAUCACAUGAUCCAGUGAUGAAAGGUGGCGCAAUCUAUCGCUAAGAUAUGGACCCGCGGUGCAUUAGCUAGUUGGUAGGGUAGAGGCCUACCAAGGCGAUGAUGCAUAGCCGACCUGAGAGGGUGAUCGGCCACAUUGGGACUGAGACACGGCCCAAACUCCUACGGGAGGCAGCAGUAGGGAAUCUUCCGCAAUGGACGCAAGUCUGACGGAGCAACGCCGCGUGAGUGAAGAAGGUCUUCGGAUCGUAAAGCUCUGUUGUUAGAGAAGAACAGCGCAUAGAGUAACUGCUAUGCGUGUGACGGUAUCUAAACAGAAAGCCACGGCUAACUACGUG
Molecule: ribosomal RNA, 502 nt
Filed under: uncultured bacterium
Lineage: Bacteria
Description: partial 16S ribosomal RNA
Rfam family: Bacterial small subunit ribosomal RNA
Source: RNAcentral